UUUUAGUAAUUUUUAUGGGGGAAUCUGGCAAAAAAUUAUUUCGGCAAAACCGCACCUAAAAUAAAAUAUAAAAUUACAAGCUAAAGGCGCACCUAAAACCGUACACGAAACUAAAAUAGCAAAAAAGUAAAAACGAAAUCGAAUAAAAUGGUUCAUUUAUAAAAAAGCACAGAACAAAACGUUGUAUUGACAAAAUCGAAAAUCCCUAUAAAGUUGUACGAUUAAAAGUACACGGGCUAAAAACGUACAAACUAAAAUGAUAAACAGAGACAUUCCAAGUUGUGUAGAUGUCGCCACAGAUGCUAUCUUAUCUAAACAACAAAACACGCAAAAUUUAUGUUAUUUUAUUUUUACAAAGUAUCUUGUAAAUUUUACAAGAAAGGCAAAUAUUUUUUUAGAGGUGUAGAUUUCAAUACAUAAAUAGUACUUUUAUUAGCUGUUUGAAAACUAUAAAAACAUAGUUUCUUAUUUAAGAUGCAGCAGCUCGUAAAAGUUGAAAAAAACGCAUACUUUAAUGUGGAAUUGUAGCAGACCUGUUAACUUUGUUUUUAAUGAUAUAUUCUAAUGUUUACCUGGUUUAUUAUUUAAUUAUUCAAAAAGAAUUGUUGGAAAACAUUUUUUUUGGUUUUUGAAAUGAGUUAGAACCACCAAUUUAUGGGUGCAGCUUAUAAAAUAUCAAUUCAUGACUGUUAUGAGUCAGUCAGAAUCUUUAACAUAAGUAGGUAUUCACCAUGGUUUUCACUAUCUCCUAAAACGGCAUUGACACCUUUAAAUAUAAUCAAAGGUUGAUUUAUUAAAAUUGUAUUUAAUUUACUUUUAUUAGGUUGCUCCGCUCGAGUAUUCUAUACAUUGGAUAAUUUGAAGAGCAUAUUAUAAGAAUUACUGAAAACAACGAAAUUAUUUUUUUAUUGAUUAGUUCUCAACGUUAUUAUUUUUUAAAGUUAGUAUUUCGUUUCACACAAAUGUUGAUGUGGAUUGAUAUUUUUUUUCUUGGAGUAAUUUCAAAGUGUACGUAGGUCGUACGUAUAACCAAACACCAUGUGGUCAAAAUCAAUAUUGCCGUAUUAGAAUAAAAUUAGUAAAAAUAGAAUACACAGAAAUGUUGCGUUUUUCGGUAUUUUUAUGGCUUUUGUAGCGACAUCUAAGCGGUAGUAGCUGAACUAAACAUAGCUGAACUUUGACUGUUUAUCAUUUUAAUUUGUGCUAUUUUUAUAGUGCAACUUUAUAGGGAUUUUCGAUUUGGCAAUAUAACGUUUUGUUCUGUACUUUUUUUAUAGAUGAUCUAUUUUGUUCGAUCUCGUUUUUACUUAUUCACUAUUUUAGUGAUGUAGGUUUUUAAAGGCAUACUGUUUUAGACCAUUGCUGUUUCGACGUGUGCGGUUUUGACUUGCAAUUUUAUAAUGUGUAGGCUUUUACGUUGGGACACAUAUACAGGGUGAUUUUUUGAAAACGAGCCACCUUGAAUAUCUACGAAAAUACACAAAAAAAAUUAAAAAAUCUCGAGACAGGUCAAAUUUUUAUUUAUUGGGGGCACCUUUUGGUGUACUUUUAAAAGUUGUAGCACCAACCCUCUUUGUAAUACAAACAACAUCUUCAAAAUUUUAAAUGGCAUGACCCCACUUAUGAUACUUCAAAUGAAAGGUAUUUUGACCAGAGAUCUCGGGUCUCGGGUUUUUUAAUUUUUGCAUAUUUUCGGAAAUAUUUAGAGUGGCUCGUUUU
Molecule: long non-coding RNA, 1719 nt
Organism: Tribolium castaneum (red flour beetle)
Lineage: Eukaryota; Metazoa; Arthropoda; Insecta; Coleoptera; Tenebrionidae
Exons: 2
Source: RefSeq, a predicted model, not a curated record